Molecule: non-coding RNA, 103 nt
Organism: Acanthosepion pharaonis
Lineage: Eukaryota; Metazoa; Mollusca; Cephalopoda; Sepiida; Sepiidae
Source: the annotation of a GenBank genome assembly
UACAGCCUUACCACACUGAAACACUAGUUCCUGUAUGAUCACCAAAGUUAAGCAACAUUGAGCCUGGUCAGUACCUAGAUAGGUGACUACUUGGGAAUACAGG